This 76-nucleotide transfer RNA is filed under the name Clostridium perfringens. RNAcentral's name for it is "tRNA-Lys". It matches the Rfam family "tRNA". From Rfam's summary of the family: Transfer RNA (tRNA) molecules are approximately 80 nucleotides in length. Lineage: Bacteria; Bacillati; Bacillota; Clostridia; Eubacteriales; Clostridiaceae. The record is from RNAcentral. RNAcentral also lists the same sequence under 12 other names.
GACCCAUUAGCUCAGUUGGUAGAGCACCUGACUUUUAAUCAGGGUGUCCCGCGUUCGAGUCGCGGAUGGGUCACCA